GGAGAGGUGCCUGAGUGGUUGAAAGGGCNCGCCUGGAAAGCGAGUAUACGGGCAACCGUAUCGGGGGUUCGAAUCCCCCUCUCUCCGCCA
RNAcentral lists this transfer RNA (90 nucleotides) under Gammaproteobacteria bacterium. RNAcentral describes it as "tRNA-Ser". It matches the Rfam family "tRNA". From Rfam's summary of the family: Transfer RNA (tRNA) molecules are approximately 80 nucleotides in length. Their secondary structure includes four short double-helical elements and three loops (D, anti-codon, and T loops). Further hydrogen bonds mediate the characteristic L-shaped molecular structure. tRNAs have two regions of fundamental functional importance: the anti-codon, which is responsible for specific mRNA codon recognition, and the 3' end, to which the tRNAs corresponding amino acid is attached (by aminoacyl-tRNA synthetases). tRNAs cope with the degeneracy of the genetic code in two manners: having more than one tRNA (with a specific anti-codon) for a particular amino acid; and 'wobble' base-pairing, i.e. permitting non-standard base-pairing at the 3rd anti-codon position. The record is from RNAcentral. Lineage: Bacteria; Pseudomonadati; Pseudomonadota; Gammaproteobacteria.